RNAcentral lists this ribosomal RNA (483 nucleotides) under uncultured archaeon. RNAcentral's name for it is "bacterial SSU rRNA". It matches the Rfam family "Archaeal small subunit ribosomal RNA", at positions 51 to 539 of the family's 1478-position model. The record is from RNAcentral.
AUGCGAGUCGAGAGGGUUCGGCCCUCGGCGUACUGCUCAGUAACACGUGGAUAACCUACCCUGGGAUGGGGGAUAAUCUCGGAAAACUGAGGAUAAUACCCCAUAGGUCUGGGAGGCUGGAAUGCGCCCAGACUAAAAACUCCGGUGUCCCAGGAUGGGUCUGCGGCCUAUCAGGUUGUAGUGGGUGUAAAGGACCCACUAGCCGACGACGGGUACGGGCCAUGGGAGUGGUAGCCCGGAGAUGGAUUCUGAGACACGAAUCCAGGCCCUACGGGGCGCAGCAGGCGCGAAAACUUCGCAAUGCGCGAAAGCGCGACGAGGGGAUUCCAAGUGCAUGCACUCAGUGCAUGCUGUUUUCCAGUGUAAACAGCUGGGAGAGUAAGGGCUGGGUAAGACUGGUGCCAGCCGCCGCGGUAAUACCAGCGGCCCUAGUGGUGAUCGUUAUUAUUGGGCCUAAAGCGUCCGUAGCCGGCUCGGUAAAUC